AUCUCCUAACUGCGUGUGAAAAGCUAAGAGUGUUUUUCAUGUAUGUUCUAAAGCAUUUGAUGCAAUCUAUACAAUGAUUAUAUACUAAUAAAGACAAAUUCUUUUAAAAAUCACCUUUUUAUUGGAAGAAGCAGGCCUUUUAGAGGAAAGAAACCAUAAAGGUCAUACACAGAUCAAGAAGGAUCUAAAGGUGAGAAAUUCAAGUACUUUGAAGAGUAUUUGAAAUGCAAACAUCAACACAAGACAGAGGACAGAGGACACCCUGAUAUCAGAAAAUUUGUCCUCAGAAUGACUCCUUGGGUGGUGUAAAAGUAUUUUGCCAAAUUCUGUUCUCACAGUUUGUGAAUUAAAAGUAACUCGGCAAUGUGAGUUCAUUAAAAGGGAGAUGGCAUCAACCUUGCCACGUUCAAGGCAGGUUGCAAACAGCUUUAAGUAUAUAAAUAAAAGAUAGGUUCUUUGACACACAGUACCAAACGGUAUUUCAAGGCAGUGCUGUCUCACAGCCAGUGUAUUAUAGCAGGCUCAUAAAAGAAAACAAUGAAAUGUGGACUUGCAUCUUAUUUUUGGUUCAUGUAAUAUUAAAAAGAAAACAUUAUUAUUACUAUAAUAGUAAUUACUAUUGUUGCUUUAUUGCUACUAUUAUUAAUUCUUGCAGUUUUCUCAUGGCAUUCCUUAAAGCCUCAGCUACUGGAAUGAAGGGAUCAUUGGAAGAAUUUCAAGUUUGUUUGUUUUUAUGUGGUGUUCCAAUUUUCCUAGUUACAAAAAUAAACCCAAAAACAUAUUCUGAGUGCAACUAACAAAUGGAAUGAGGGCACAUAAAAGGCAUCUAAUGCUGCAUUUCUAUAUCAGGCAUGUUAUAAAGAACAAGUUUCAUUUAAAUGUCCAUAGUGUCAGCAAUUAGAAUGAGCCUGGCUUUCCUUGUUACCCUGUGAAAUUACCUGCAAGGCCUUUUCAUAUUGUUUUCCUGCCAUUGUUUUCAUGCUCCGUAGAGCAUUAAGAGUCAAUGACGGGCAGCUCUUGUGUUAGUCAGUCUAUGAGUCGUAGAGUAUUCUCCAUUUGGAGCUAUUGGAAACACCUCAAGGCGUUUAUUGAUAAAUACUUCCUAAAGACCUUUGUAAUAGAGAAUUCUCCUUUCUGCCUGCUCUCCAGUACCUAUAAGGCCCAUCUUUUCCCCCCAAAAUAUAAAUGUUUUUUUGUUUUCUUUCCAGUGGCCUCUGUAAUAAACCUUCAAUAGAAGCUAUGGAUGAAGUAUGCUUCCAGUCCAGCGCAGUCCUCCAGCUUUGAGCAGUGCAGUGCCGUUUCCUCUCCAUUUGUUUCUAUGGAGCUGACUAUGUGUGCGGUCAUCCAUAGGGGUGCUGAGAUACCCUGGAGAGAGAAGGAAUGGCUGGAGCUAUUUUUCAUUAUUUUAUACUACACUUUGUAAUAAAUGAAAUCCAUAGCAUGUGAACACCGGUCCUGUAGCUCAUCAUAUCCGCAAGCACAAGGAACCUUAUGUGCUAAAUAAAAUAAGUAAGCUUGAGAAAAAUUGUCUGGUGAGGCAGUAGAGUGUUCAGUGUUCAACUGUACAGUGCAACCUCUCUGACUGAGAAUGAUAUUAAGACCUACAGAACUACAGAACAACAGGUUUUAGAGCUAAAGCAGUCUACAAUUUGUAUCUAUCUACAUUCACAGCCUUUCUUCCACAACAAAAUUGUACUGACUUAAAUCUCCAUUGUCUUACAGAGGUCUUUGGGGUAACAGAGAAUAGCAAGCAACUUGUGAUCCACAAAGGAAAAUGGCAGCAGAAGGAACAUGAUAGAACUUCUGCAAUAGUGGUGAUGCAGGUUGAACUCUAUCCUGAGGAAGUCCAUCUGUCUGUAUGGAAGGAGCAAGACAAACGCUUGGACAUGAGUCCCAGCUUUGCAGCUGCAGAUGCCACUCCUUCAAGUAGUGUUUCCCACUUGUAUCGAACCAGGGGUUUGGAGCCUAUCAUGGGACUACCUGCAAAUAAUGCUGUGGUUCUGAUUCCUCCAGUGUGUCUUCAUAGACCUGAUGUCAGCUUCUUUCUUGUGGAGAUGAAGAAUGUCACCAUGACUGUCCAUUGGCAAACUGGAUAAGAAAGAGUGUCACACUGCAGGACAACCUAGAAGAUGACAGGUAUUUCCAGGCACAGCAAUGAUGAGAUCAAAUUCCCCUCAACCUGCCUUGUUUGCUGAUCUUUUAAUCAGAUUCAACUUCACUGCAGCUACAGCACAAGGUUCCCUGACAAUGUAUGACAGCAUGUGACAGAAAAAUAUUUGGAUUUUUUUUUUUUUUACCAUUUGAUGCUAUUUCAGAUAUAUCUGAAGCUCUGGCAGCAUCUGCUAAAUCUACUGAACUGUUUUAGUGGAGGUUUUUAAACGUGCAUAAUUGAACUGGAGGGUUUGGGGGGUUGUGUUCAUGUGCAUGUAGGGGAAUCCAAACAGGAAAGCUGGGAAAUGAUCUAAACCCUUUGAGGUUAACGUGCCAUGAAAGAGCAUCAACAACCGAAGAGGACAUUAUUAAAAAGCAGCCAACCCAGCUCAAAAAGAACCACUCUGUGAAGCAAGAGCCUGCAGAACAACACCCAGGGCUGUUUGUGAUCCCACUGGGAUAUGUAUUUCAUCCCCUGUCUUCAUAUCUCCAGAUUUCCUCUGAACUGCUUCUGAGACGCAUUCUCGAAAAAGAAAAACACCAGCAACUACUGAAUGCCUCUUAUCAACCUUUUCCCCGCAAUCUGUUUCGUAUUCGUCUCACACCCUUGUUCUUGCAGUGUCUUGGGGAAAUGCUCGGAUCAAAGAUAAGAGAGAACAAGGAAAGGAAUGAAGCAAGAG
This is a long non-coding RNA of Centrocercus urophasianus (Greater sage-grouse), 2831 nucleotides long. RefSeq lists it as uncharacterized. The record is from RefSeq and is a predicted model, not a curated record. The transcript has 4 exons. Lineage: Eukaryota; Metazoa; Chordata; Aves; Galliformes; Phasianidae.